This 42-nucleotide ribosomal RNA is filed under the name Stipa papposa. Its description in RNAcentral is "partial 28S ribosomal RNA". Lineage: Eukaryota; Viridiplantae; Streptophyta; Magnoliopsida; Poales; Poaceae. The record is from RNAcentral.
GCGACCCCAGGUCAGGCGGGRCUACCCGCUGAGUUUAAGCAU